This 253-nucleotide ribosomal RNA is filed under the name uncultured bacterium. RNAcentral describes it as "partial 16S ribosomal RNA". It matches the Rfam family "Bacterial small subunit ribosomal RNA", at positions 524 to 776 of the family's 1533-position model. The record is from RNAcentral.
UACGAAGGUCCCAAGCGUUGUUCGGAAUCACUGGGCGUAAAGGGCGCGUAGGCGGCGUGGUAAGUCAGAUGUGAAAUCCCGGGGCUCAACCCCGGAACUGCAUCCGAUACUGCCAUGCUAGAGGAUUGGAGAGGUAGCUGGAAUUCUUGGUGUAGCAGUGAAAUGCGUAGAGAUCAAGAGGAACACUCGUGGCGAAAGCGAGCUACUGGACAAUUCCUGACGCUGAGGCUCGAAGGCUAGGGUAGCGAAAGGG